This 254-nucleotide ribosomal RNA is filed under the name uncultured bacterium. RNAcentral describes it as "partial 16S ribosomal RNA". It matches the Rfam family "Bacterial small subunit ribosomal RNA", at positions 524 to 776 of the family's 1533-position model. The record is from RNAcentral.
AACGUAGGAGGCAAGCGUUAUCCGGAAUUACUGGGCGUAAAGGGCGUCUAGGCGGUAUGGCAAGCGGGAUGUGAAAGCUCCUGGCUCAACUGGGAGAGUGCGUUCCGAACUGCCGAACUAGAGGCCAGGCCGAUGGGGGUGGAAUUCCCGGUGGAGUGGUGAAAUGCGUAGAGAUCGGGAGGAACACCAGUGGCGCAAGCGGCCCCCAAGCCUGAGCCUGACGCUGAAGCGCGACAGCGUGGGGAGCAAACAGG